ACUGAAUGAAAACGGGUAGUCCUUGUUCUGCUUGGGGGGCUUUAAGGAAGCAAAUGGACUUUCAGAACAGAGAUUGUCAAUAAAGGGUCAAUCCUCACGCCGCAUGGUUGGGUUUCCGAAAUAAGAUUUGCAGAAAGAAAAAUGUGCCAUUGAUCUUGGACAUAAAUUUAUAACUUAUGUUGGUUGUUUAAUAUUCUAUCCAAAGAUCAACAUAUCAUGUCAACACUUUCUCUAAUACGAUGGCAAGUGGCAGGAACAAAUUGUACAGAAUCCUCUUUCAAAAUUGAAGGUUUGUGGCAACCCUGCAUGGAGCAAGUCUAUCGGCAUAAUUUUUCCAACAGUAUUUGCUCACUUUAUGUCUCUGUCACAUCUCCAUAAUUAUCACAAUAUUUCAAAUUUUUUCAUUAUUAUUAUAUUUGUUAUGGUGAUCUCUGGUCUGUGAUCUUUGAUGUUGCUCUUACAUUUAUUUCAGGGUGCCACAAACCACACCCACAUGAGACAGCAAACUUAAUUGAUAAAUGUCAUGUGUGUUCUGACGGCUCCCCUGACCCGCCGUUCCCCUGUCUCUCUCCCUCUCCUCGGAGCUCUCUAAUCCCUGAGACACAACAAUAUUGAAAUUAGGCCAGUUAAUAACCCUACGAUGGCCUCUAAGUGUUCAAUUGAAAAGAAAGAGUCACACGUUUCUCACUUUAAAUCAAAAGCUAGAAAUAAUUAAACUUAGUGAGGAAGGCAUGUUGAAAGCUGAGAUAGGCUAAAAGCUAGGGCUCUUGUGCCAAACAGUUAACCAAGUUUUAAAUCCAAAGGAAAAUUGGAAAUUUUGAAGGAAAUUAAAAGCACUACUCCAGUGAACACAUGAAUGAUAAGAAAGUGAAACAGCCUUACUGCUGAUAUAGAGAAAGUUUUAAUGGUCUGGAUAGAAGAUCAAACCAGCCACAAUAUUCCCUUAAACCAAAGCCUAAUCCAGAGCAAGGCCCUAACUCUCUUCAAUUCUGUGAAGGCUGAGAGAGGUAAGGAAGCUGCAGAAGAAAAGCUUGAAGGUAGCAGAGGUUGGCUCAUGAGGUUGAAACCAUAACACCUCCAUAACACCAAAAUACAAGGUGAAGCAGCAAGUGCUGAUAUAGAAGCUGCAGCAAGUUAUCCAGAAGAUCUAGCUAAGGUCAUUAAUGAAGGUGGCUUCACUAAACAACAGAUUUUUAAAGUAGAUGAAACAAUCUUCUACUGGAAGAUGCCACCUAGGACUUUCGUAGCUAGAGAGAAUAAGUCAAGGCCUGGCUUCAAAGCUUCACAGGACAAGCUGACUCUCUAAUUAGGGGCUAAUGCAGCUGGUGACUUGAAGUUGAAGCCAAUGCUCAUUUACCAUUCUGAAAAUCCUAGGGCCCUUAAGAAUUAUGCUAAAUCUACUCUGCCUGUGCUCUCUAAAUGGCACAACAAAGCCUGGAUGACAGCAUAUCUUUUGACAACAUGGUUUACUGGAUAUUUGAAGCCACUGUUGAGACCUGCUACUCAGAAAACAAGACUUCUUCCAAAAUAUUACUGCUCAUUGACAAUGCACCUGCUCACCCAAGAGCUCUGAGAACGAUGUACAAGGUUAAUGUUAUUUUCAUGACUGCCAACACAACACCCACUGUGCAGCCCAUGGAUCAAGGAGUAAUUUAAACUUUCAAGUCUUAUUAAGGAAAUACAUUUCAUGAGCCUAUAGCUGCCAUAGAUAGUGACUCCUCUAAUGGCUCUGGGAAUAGUAAAUUGAAAAUUUUCUAGAAAGAAUUCACCAUUCUAGAUGCCAUUAAGAACAUUCGUGAUUCAUGGGAAGAGGUCAAAUUAUCAACAUUAACAGGAGUUUGGAAGAAGUUGACUCCAACCCUCAUGGAUCACUUUGAGGGUCUCAAGACUUCAGUGGAGGAAGAGCUACAGAUGUGGAAAUAGCAAGAGAACUAGAAUUAGAAGUGGAGCCUGAAGAUGUGACUGAAUUGCUGCAAUCUCAUAAUCAAACUUUAACAGGUGGGGGGUUGCUUCUUAUGGAUGAGAAAACAAAGUAGAUGAAAUCUACUCCUGAUGAAGAUGCUGUGAAGAUUACUGAAAUGACAACAAAGGACUUAGAAUACUACAUAAACUUAGUUGAUAAAGCAGUGACAGGGUUUGAGAGGACUGACUCCAAUUUUGAAAGAAGUUCUACUGUGGGGAAAAUGCUAUCAAAAAACAUUUCAUGCUACAGAGAAAUCAUUUGUGAGAGGAAGAAUCAACAAGGCAAACUUCAUCGUCUUAUUUUAAGAAAUUGCUACAGCUACCCUAACCCUCUGCAACCACCACCCUGAUCGGUUAGCAGCCAUCAACAUCGAGGCAAAAUCCUCCAUCAGCAAAAAGAUUAUGACUCGCAGAAGCCUCGCAUGAUGGUUAGCAUUUUUUCAGCAAUAAAGAAGGAAUACCCUUCCUAAGCUCUGGAUGUGUCCUCUGAGAAGGUACCCAUGACACAGACCACACUGGACACCAACUCAGAUAUUGGGGGAAGGUUCCACGACAGCUGAGUGCGGACAUGCUGACCACUGAACCCUUUGAUGAAUGAAAAGCUGCUAAGCUCUCCUCUCAAGCUGAUGGGGCUGGUGCUGCCUUAAAGCGCUGAGAGAUGCCAUGCCAAUUCACGGCAAGGUCUUUAUUGUUGAAACUCUUGCAUCAUGACAUCUUUAUGCAUGUGAAAAUACAGGAUGAAUUUCAACUAUAUGAUAUUGUUCAUGU
This is a long non-coding RNA of Balaenoptera ricei (Rice's whale), 2730 nucleotides long. RefSeq lists it as uncharacterized. Lineage: Eukaryota; Metazoa; Chordata; Mammalia; Artiodactyla; Balaenopteridae. The record is from RefSeq and is a predicted model, not a curated record. The transcript is spliced from 5 exons.